UGCAGCAACAUGCCAUCAUAUAUAUUAUUUAGGAUUAAUUGAAAUUACAUGGGGAUACCUAUUAUAUAACAACUUCUAUUUCAACAAGUACAUUUUAUAACACUUCGUACAAUGCUGCAUAUUACAUUCCUGUAGAACAGGACGUAAGUUAUUCAUCUUGCAGAACGUAAUUAAGUAGUAGAUAUUAUGGGAUAAUUAAAUGAAGAGAGGCGCCAUAGGCUCUUAAUUAGUGACCCCAGCCAUACGUAGUAGUGGUGGCCGGGCAGAUGACGUCUUACAUUUUGUCGCGCUGCUGCUUCCCCGUGGUGGAUUGCUUUUGCUCCAGUCCUCCUGUGCCGUACGAGGUUCUCAGUUAGAAUAGCUCUGUUAACACUGUAACAAAAUAAUAUCUAGGUCAUUUUUUUAUUUAACAUCAUUGACUUUUAUAUCUGUAUUUGACCAUUUGCCAUAUUUAAUUUUCUUGUGAAAACAUACAAAAUUAUAAUUCAUUUUUAAAAUUUCUUUAGUAAUAAAUUAAAUUAUAACAAAAUAAUUAAUAAUUAUAUGAUUUUGUUAAUAAGAAAAAUAGUUAAAUACAUAUAUGAUAUAAAAAUCAACGCCGUCGAAUAAAAAAAAUCUGAAUGAAUAUAUCGUAUAGAACUCACUCUGUGGAGUUGACUUAUCCCGGUCAUGUUUACUGUUAUCUCCUCCCUCAGUCGACCGCGGUUUAGAAUCCGUCUGAUAGAUCUUCUCCGAAGCGUCGUUUAUUU
RNAcentral lists this long non-coding RNA (749 nucleotides) under Oryza brachyantha (malo sina). RNAcentral's name for it is "long non-coding RNA (OBRA_LNC001787)". The record is from RNAcentral. Lineage: Eukaryota; Viridiplantae; Streptophyta; Magnoliopsida; Poales; Poaceae.